CUGCCGAGUCGGGCCGGGCCGCCUGGGGAGCGGAGCCGCCGCCGGAGCUGCGUCCGCUAUGGGGACGGCGUACGCGCGGAUGCGCUGCAUCAAAAUCUUGCUGUUCAUCUUCAAUCUGAGCUUCUGGCUGGCAGGAUUGGCUGUCAUUGCCUUUGGUCUGUGGCUGCGGUUUGGUGGGGCUAUGGCAGAGUUUGCUUCAGACAAAAGGUCUCCAGAGUAUUUCUUCAUAGGUCUGUAUGUGUUGGUGGGAGCAGGGGCUCUCAUGACCACAGUUGGAUUCUUUGGGUGCUGUGGAGCAGCGCGGGAGUCUCAGUUCUUACUUGGAGCAUUCUUUGCUUGCUUGUUGGUGAUAUUUGCAGCUGAGAUCACCGCUGGAGUGUUCGCAUUUAUAGGCAAGAAAGUGGCAAUACAGGAAGCCCAGAAAAUCUAUGAAGACAUCUAUGAGGAGUACAUGAAAAACCCGGGGAAGGUGAACAGAACCAUCUAUCACUACCACUUGGCUCUCCAAUGCUGCGGUAAAGAUAAUUUGGAACAACACGCAGGAUUACCUUGUCCAGAGAAAAUGCAGGUGCCAAAGAACUGCCUGGUUGAAAUCCACAACGUAAUCGAUGCCAAUCUGCAUCUAGUUGGGAUUGUUGGAAUUGCAAUUGCUGGCACCACAAUCUUUGGCAUGAUAUUCAGCAUGGUUCUCUGCUGUGCUAUCCGUAACAUGAGAGAUAUGAUCUAAAACUGUCACUGCACAACUGUGUCCAGAAGCUUUACAAGAAGUGCUCUUCUACCCAGCUUAAUAACUGUAAUGUAUUUUAAUUAGUGUUUUAACAUACUGAGAGGAAAAUAUCCCACGAGAUGUGGAGGUGAAUUGUAUUAGUGGCAGUAAAACUGAAAUGAACAAAAAAAAGGGUUUUAAAAUGUCCUUUUUAAUGGAAAGAGCCGAGAUGGCAUCAAAGACUAAUUUGAUUUUUAAUGUUUGUAUAUGUGCAAUUUAGAGCUUACAUAUCUAUAGGCACUGUGUAAGUACAUGCAUUUCUCUCAUUACAGAUAUGUAUGCACAUUAUCUGUGCAUGUAGUACCUUAUGUAGGUAAGUAUGUGCAAAUGGGAUGUGUUGUGUGUCCACAUUUGCAUGCACAUUUUUCCAGUCUCACCACGCAGGAGUUGUGCACACACCCAGAGGUUGCUUGAAAUACUUUCAUUCCGAGCCCCCGUUUGCCAAGAGCUGGUAGAGGAACAAAUGCCAUUUUAAAAACGACCCAGCAUCCAUUUUGUAACUGUUCCGUCCAGCCCCCAAAGAGGAAGUCUGUUUUGUUUUAAACGGCUUUUGUUGUUACAAAAGGGUCUCCUCCAGCACACUCCUUCCUGGAGAUCUUCCAAAGCCCCUGGAUGAGGUCCUGGGCGCUCUGCCCUCACGGCUCUGCUGCAGCACAGCGCCUGGAUCGGAGGGACGCAGAGAUCCCUUCCAAUUUCAACCAUUCGGUGAUUCUGUGACUUCACUGGUGUGCACAGACCUGAGUUUUGUUUUUGUUUAAGUCCAGUCGUGUUUUCAUGCAAGUACAGAAAGCUCUGUGGGAGGAAACAGUCCAAGGAGAUCUGGCCUAAACAAAGAGGGGAGGAGGUAGGAAGCUGGCAAGAUGCAGUCAUUUGGGAGCGAUUGUAACACACAGUGUGGUUAAGCUUCUCAUAUAGCCUGAGACCAAAACCAAACCACCAAAACCUCUAUGUGUUAAAGGGGCCACUAAAAUCUUAGUUCAGAAGUCCCUUUAUGCUGUAAGACUGAGAUCUAUAAUGCUGGCGCAGGAGUAGAACCUAUAGUAAGAAAAGCAGCAGCUUUGUCAGAUACCCUGUAGAGCCUGGUGUGUAGAAUCCAAUGGAGGAGAAAAAAUGGUCAGGGAAAAACACACAGCACUUUAAUAUCCUCUGGUUUUGCUUCUGUGACUAUCACAGCUUCCUGAGGGCUCCUACCUCAGCCUCCCACCCCUUCCUGCAGGCGUAAGGCAGAAAAGAAAGAUGGGGCUUCUUUUCUAAAAAAGAAAAAGAAAGAAAAAAACAGAAGAGCAGAGCCACAAAGUAAAUUUUCUUACUGGGAUUUGUAGAUUGCAUAUAAAAAAAAUACUGUUCUUGAAAUACCUCAGGGCUUGCCUUUGCGUUAUUUGUUUCUAUAUUGUUAUUUUUAUAUUCUUCAUACUUAUUUAUGAGAGUGUUCCUUCUAAAGCAGCCUGGAAGGGAGAGAGUUUGUUCCCAGAAAGAGCAAAUAAAUUACAGCAAGGGCUCAGAAUCUCUGAAAUUUUUGCUUAGUCCAGUUAAUUUAGCAUUUCAAAGAAUAACUUUCUGCUAGCAAUGCCCCUUUAUUACCACCUCAGAGUUCUUAUGCAGUUGUUCUUUUUUAAGAGAAUAGGUCUAACAGAGCUCAGUUAAAUGUCUCAGUGAAUGGUCCGUGAUGCCUAAUGUGACUUGGCAUUUACAAGUCAAUUAUCUCACUAAAACAUGAUGGCACUUCAGGUAGUGCCUGCAGUCCAGUGCACGUGUUUGUGUCACAUACAUCCCUCCUGAUGUUUUUCUCUCAUUUCCAACAGAAACUCCAAUUUCUAUCAAUUUGCUGUUAUUUCAGUAUUGGAAAUGGUGCUGCUGUUCCAUGUUUCCCACUUAAUUGACUCAUCUUGCUGUCUUUUACAUGGAUGUCACUUUCCAAAUUGUUCACCCACAGGCUGUCACUAUGCAGUGACGUUGAUGCAGCUGUGCGGUUGUAGGGGAACCCUUGGGUUGGGGCUUGAGCUGGUGAUUGAGCACCUGGUGAAGGGGUGCUGUUGGCCUGAGGAGCUCAUUGUUUGCACCUGUGCUCUCCCAUGUGCCCAGAAGGGCUGCACCCAAUGCAGAGCCACCCUGGGCUCAUUUCAGGGACAGCCACUGAAGGGAGAGCAUCCUUGGACCUAGACUGCUUCCUGAGGAGUGCUGCAUGGCCAGAGAGCCCCUUCACCAGCUGGCACUGCAUCAUAAUCUCCAUAGAGCUCAGGAGCCUUGGCUUUUCUCACCCCUGCUUUCCCGGCCUGCUCAGGAAUCCCAGAAACAAAGCUUUGCUUGGCUCCAGGACAGUUUCAGGAUCUUCUCUCUCUCUCUUUGGAACUACAAAUUCUACAAUGACAGAGUCUACAGAUAUCUGGAAUCACCCUCUAGUCUCUUCCAGCCGUCGUUUUCCUAUAACAAAAGCCAUUUGUUACACGAUCCAGUUUACCCUGUGGCUGCAGUCGUAUAAGUCUGGAAAGACCAACCUCUUGUCAGCUGAAUUCUUCCCUAUUUCAGGAGUCUGAUUCUGCCUUGAGCUGGGAGAGGCAGUGAUCUAGCACCAACUCUUGUGUGCUUUAUACACUCCAGGCUAAUUCCAGGCUUAUCUUCCUGUUUAUAUAAUUGCAUCUGAAUUGCUGCUUUCUUAUCGCAGAGCCAUCUAUUGAAAAUUCAUACUAAACCACAAAGCAAAUGUGAUAGGAACAAACGUCUCCAUAAUAUCCUAACCUGGAAAUUGGAGCUGGAAAUCUAAUUAUGUUAACAGUCAGUCUUUCUCCUGGGCUUUUAAACUAACCACUGCUUUUAAAAGGUUGCUAUUGAUUAAUUUGCUGCAUAGGACAGCAACGUGUUGGCAGUCAGGCUAGCGUGGAAAUGGAGCCAUGCAGAAUCACACCUGACUAAUUCUGCUCUCACUUUUUUUGGAAAAUCUGGUUCAUUCAGUAUGCUCACUACCUGGCAGGCACAAAUGAGGGAUGCAAUGCUGUAUGCAUAAAAUAAAUCUCAAAUCCAAGCAAUUGAUUGCUUUAUAGCGCGGGUAGGAAAAGUUUCACUUAUUUACUAUUAAAAAAAAAAAAAAAAAAAGGCAACAAAAAACCAACAAUAAAAAGCCAUGCAGGCAAAUUAUUGAGCAAGCACUGAAGUGAAAACAAUUCACUGAAAUACUGAGAAUCAAUUGGUUUCGUUUUGAGAUGCCACUUUUUGUCGCACGGUGCGAAGCAAAAUGUUGUACCAAUGUCAUUGAAACUAAAAUAUCCACUGAUGGGGUGGGGAGGGAACGUUCCUGGUUGGGGCUUUGAGAAAUACCAAAGAGGAGCAAAGUGAGGAGGGCGUUGAGUUAGUAUGCAAGUCUUGCACUGAUUUAGCACAGAGCCACUGUAACCUGCUGGUUCGUCUGUGUCUGGCCAACCUUCUCACUGUGCCCUCACUGCAGCUCUGUUGCCCACCAGCCCCAUGGGUCACCUCCCUGCCAGCUGGACUUGGCUUUCAUGCGUGCCUUAGGCAGGUCAACCACUUUGUUGUCUUACGUGGCCAUAAGGAACAUGAGAAAGUUGAACAGCGUGUUGUGCUGUUGGAGGACUGAGCCAGUCAGUCCUAACAAGCAUCUGCCCAAUUCCUGAAUGGCGUUGUCUCCUUUACCAGUGGUUUCAGACUGCUGCACAUGACUUUGUGUCCUAAGGUAAUUGUCUGUGGGAUUUUGUGUGUAAUGUAAUGAAGUUCUUGUUCAUU
This is an RNA transcript of Tympanuchus pallidicinctus (lesser prairie-chicken), 4501 nucleotides long. It is a transcript of the gene named tetraspanin 2, with no coding region annotated. The transcript is spliced from 10 exons. Lineage: Eukaryota; Metazoa; Chordata; Aves; Galliformes; Phasianidae. The record is from RefSeq and is a predicted model, not a curated record.